GACGAACGCUGGCGGCGUGCUUAACACAUGCAAGUCGAACGGAAAGGCCCUGCUUUUGUGGGGUGCUCGAGUGGCGAACGGGUGAGUAACACGUGAGUAACCUGCCCUUGACUUUGGGAUAACUUCAGGAAACUGGGGCUAAUACCGGAUAGGAGCUCCUGCUGCAUGGUGGGGGUUGGAAAGUUUCGGCGGUUGGGGAUGGACUCGCGGCUUAUCAGCUUGUUGGUGGGGUAGUGGCUUACCAAGGCUUUGACGGGUAGCCGGCCUGAGAGGGUGACCGGCCACAUUGGGACGGGGAUACGGCCCAGACUCCUACGGGAGGCAGCAGUGGGGAAUAUUGCACAAUGGGCGGAAGCCUGAUGCAGCAACGCCGCGUGCGGGAUGACGGCCUUCGGGUUGUAAACCGCUUUCGCCUGUGACGAAGCGUGAGUGACGGUAAUGGGUAAAGAAGCACCGGCUAACUACG
This 466-nucleotide ribosomal RNA is filed under the name uncultured bacterium. RNAcentral's name for it is "partial 16S ribosomal RNA". It matches the Rfam family "Bacterial small subunit ribosomal RNA", at positions 28 to 505 of the family's 1533-position model. The record is from RNAcentral.